ACCUUGCUGGCUUAGUCGGUAGAGCAUGUGACUCUUGAUCUCAGGGUUGUGAGUUCAAACCCCGCAUUGGGUG
RNAcentral lists this transfer RNA (73 nucleotides) under Ailuropoda melanoleuca (giant panda). It matches the Rfam family "tRNA". Rfam says of the family: Transfer RNA (tRNA) molecules are approximately 80 nucleotides in length. The record is from Rfam by way of RNAcentral. Lineage: Eukaryota; Metazoa; Chordata; Mammalia; Carnivora; Ursidae.